This 253-nucleotide ribosomal RNA is filed under the name uncultured bacterium. Its description in RNAcentral is "partial 16S ribosomal RNA". It matches the Rfam family "Bacterial small subunit ribosomal RNA", at positions 524 to 776 of the family's 1533-position model. The record is from RNAcentral.
UACGUAGGGUGCGAGCGUUGUCCGGAAUCAUUGGGCGUAAAGAGCUCGUAGGCGGUCUGUUGCGUCCGCUGUGAAAACUCGGGGCUUAACCCCGAGCUUGCAGUGGAUACGGGCAGACUAGAGGUAGGUAGGGGAGAAUGGAAUUCCCGGUGUAGCGGUGAAAUGCGCAGAUAUCGGGAGGAACACCGGUGGCGAAGGCGGUUCUCUGGGCCUUACCUGACGCUGAGACGCGAAAGCGUGGGGAGCAAACAGG